This is a long non-coding RNA of Homo sapiens (human), 1959 nucleotides long. RefSeq lists it as uncharacterized. The record is from RefSeq and is a predicted model, not a curated record. Lineage: Eukaryota; Metazoa; Chordata; Mammalia; Primates; Hominidae. The transcript is spliced from 3 exons.
GCUGAAUAAAGCCGUGUCUCAUCUACCUGCUGUCUCCCAAGUGUUCUUCCAGCUCCCUGCCCCUCAUCAACCCACUCUCCUCAGACCUCAGCUGGGGCUUGAACCUGAUAAUUGGUGUAGUCAUCAGGAUGAGCUGUACCCUUCAUCACGAAUUUGAUGGACUGCUUGACAAUGGAACUGGAAGAGUACCACUUUGUGGUGGACUUAGCUAAUGCAGUCUUCUCCAUUGACAUUGCUCCAGAGAGCCAGGAGAAGUUUGUCUUCACGUGGGAAGGAUGACAAUGGACUUUCACCAUGCUGCCACAGGGCUGUGUGCAUAGCCCCACCAUUUGUCCUGGUCUUGUUGCCAUGGAUUUAGCUGCCUGGAAAUGCCCAAAAGGGGUCUGCCUGUUUCAUUACAUUGAUGAUAUGUUAACCUCUGAUUCUCUCACAGAUUUAGAAGUGGUGGUGCCCCUCUUGUGACAGCAUUUGGCAGUGUGCAGUUGGGCCAUCAAUAAAUCCAAGGUCCAAGGGCCGGAAUUGUCUGCCAAAUUCUUGGGAGUUAUUUGCUCAGCCACAGGUUGGCAUGCUCCAACAACAUUGUGGACUGGGCUCACACCUAUGCUGAGGUGGCCAAUGUCUCCAACUGUUAGAUCUGCACCACCCUUCCAGCAGCAGCUGUGGAUGGCUUGCCUUGGCAUGUGCAUCCAGCUUUUGUGAAGAACUGGACAUGGCUAGAAACUUGGGGUCCCACAGACAAUGGGCGGGAUGCAACAUGGUGAGCUUUGGAUGGGGGUGUCACAAAACCCAUGGCAAGCCUGCCCCCUGGCUGACUCAUAGCAUCCAUGAUGAAUGGGGCUGGCUAAUGGGAGAAAACAUGGUGGCCCCAUUGCAAGUACCACGAUGUAUAGAGCAACACUGGGGUAAGGUCACUGUGGGAUGGUUGCCUGCUGAGACCUGUGCAAACGUAACACAUGCCACCAUGCCAAGGAUGUGGUGGAACAAGCAGCCCUACCAAGGCUGGGCCCCCAUGGACUUUGUGCCUGCUGGGAGUUUAUAGGUCUGUGGGGACAUAGGAUGGCCAUAUCUGCCAGCCAACUAGACUGGACAUUGUACCUGGGAGUGGCCUUCUGUGCCUGCCACUGUGCUUCCCACAUUGCUUAGUCACACACAUAACUGGGAGGUGCUGUGUUCCCAGUUUUUGUGAGUGCAUUGAGCCCCUAGUGGUUCUACCCCUUAGCAAUAACUGUCCCUGGAACAGGUGUCAUCACUGUAGAAAUGCAGGUUACAGCCCUUGCAGAACACAGAGAUUGGGCCCAUGAAUUACACCUGAGCUGCCCUCCUUUUGUUAAUUGAUGAGUUUGAUCAGAUCAGGAAGGUGGUGAUGCAAAACCGGAUGGCCUUAGACAUAGUCACAGCUGCUCAAGGUGGCACCUGUGCCCUUGUAGGGACAGAGUGUUGUACAUUCAUCCCUGACAACCACCAGAACAUAGUGGCAGCUUUGCAGGGGGUGUCAUGUCAUAGGAGAUUAAGGCAAUUGAAUACCUUACUGAUGACCGCCUGCAGAGAUGGUGGGUGUCUCUGGGCUCUGGCCUACACUGGGCUCUUAUAAUCAUAGGUAGCAUAGCAGGAAUAUUAGUAGUAGGUUGUUGCUCUCUUUAUUGUUGCUGUGGCCUCUGGGUCCAGGGUGCUCCCCUAUGUGCACGAGUUCCCAUUAAGAGGACCCCCUUGGCCUAGGGGGCGGAGUGUAAGGAACAUGGCUGUGUUGCUGCCAGGCAGGCAUAGGCCGAGGUAAAAAUCCUGCAUGACACAGUGGGAUUAGAGCACACGCGCGCAAUCCUGUGCCUGAUAUAAUCACAGCUAGGUAGACAUAACACAGAGAAGCUCAUCAUUUGGCUCUCAGCCACUAUCAUUUGUGAGGUGUACAAAUGUAACACUGACACUGUGAAAGAGCUGCUGAAUAAAGCCAUGUCUCAUCUA